UCAUUAUUGAAUAAACUUGAACAGGCUGUUGCUGGUCCCUUGGGGUAUGUGCACGCCUGUCUCAUCUUUGUUAUUUCUCCAACUUGUGCACCUUUUGUAGACUCUGGAGCUUUGUGGAUUUUCUGAAAAUCCGAGUCCGGGACUGCUGUGCUUUGUUAUGAAGUCGGCUUUGCCUUGCAUCUCCAGGUCUAUGUCAUUUUUCACAACCUCUUUAAACAUGUUAAGAAUGUCGGAUAAAAAAAAUGAAAUAUACAACUUUCAGCAACGGAUCUCUUGGCUCUCGCAUCGAUGAAGAACGCAGCGAAAUGCGAUAAGUAAUGUGAAUUGCAGAAUUCAGUGAAUCAUCGAAUCUUUGAACGCAUCUUGCGCUCCUUGGUAUUCCGAGGAGCAUGCCUGUUUGAGUGUCAUUUAACUUCUCAACCACAUCAGAUAUUUUUGGUGUUGGCUUGGAUGUGGGGGUUGUUUGCAGGCUUCUGUAAGAGAAGGUCGGCUCCCCUAAAAUGUAUUAGUGGUAUCUGNAGGCUAUUGCUAUUAGGUGUGAUAAUUAUCUAUGCCUUUGGUAUGCUGCAUGAACAGAUUACACUGCUUUCUAACAAAAACAACUUUGAUGAAUUUGACCUC
RNAcentral lists this ribosomal RNA (621 nucleotides) under uncultured Inocybe. RNAcentral's name for it is "eukaryotic LSU rRNA". The stretch from base 254 to 407 matches the Rfam family "5.8S ribosomal RNA". Lineage: Eukaryota; Fungi; Basidiomycota; Agaricomycetes; Agaricales; Cortinariaceae. The record is from RNAcentral.